GGUCAAGCAAACUCAGGGCGUAUGGGGGAUGUCUUGGCGUCAGAAGUCUUUGAAGGGCGUGGAAGACUGCGAAAAGCUUGGGGGAGCUGUCAAACGAGCGUUGAUCCCGAGAUUCCCGAACUGGCUUGGUCUGAAUACAUAGGACCAGGUGGGUAACCCGGUGAACUGAAACAUCUAAGUAACCGGUGGAAGAGAAAGAAAAAUCGAUUCCCUCAGUAGCGGCGAGCGAACGGGGAACAGCCCAAACCGCGGAGGUUUUCCUCUGCGGGGUUGUAGGGCCUUUCACAUGAGAGUCAUAAAGUGAUUUGCUAGUGGAACCGUUUGGAAAGUCGGGCCAUAGCGGGUGACAGCCCCGUACACGAAAGCGAAUUGCCUCUCGAAGGGUACCUGAGUAGGUCGGGUCACGUGGAACCCCGACUGAAUCUGCGGGGACCAUCCCGUAAGGCUAAAUACUCUCUGACGACCGAUAGCGAACUCAGUAUGGUGACUGAAAGAUGAGAAGAACCCCUGCUAGGGGAGGAAUGUGAACCUGAAACCAUACGCCUACAAGCGGUCGGAGCACGAUGACUCUUUGAGUCCGUGUGACGGCGUGCCUUUUGCAUAAUGAUCCGGCGAGUUACCGUUCGCGGCUUGGUUAAGGUCUUCCGGACCGGAGCCGUAGGGAAACCAAGUCUGAAUAGGGCGACAUUGUCGCGGGUGGUAGACGCGAAACUGCGUGAUCUACCCAUGGCCAGGUUGAAGCGCGGGUUAAACUGCGUGGAGGACCGAACCCACUUGGGUUGAAAACCGAGGGGAUGAGCUGUGGGGAGGAGUGAAAGUCUAAUCAAACGCAGAGAUAGCUCGUUCUCUCCGAAAUAGCUUGAGGGCUAGCCUCGAGUCACUACGUAUCGGGGGUAGAGCUACUGAAUCGGUUUGGGGCCCUUCCCGGGGUACCCUGCUGAAUCAAACUCCGAAUACCGAUACGACUAUCUCGGGAGUCAGUCCGCGAGGGAUAAGCUUCGCGGACGAGAGGGAAACAACCCAGAUCGCCUGCUAAGGUCCCCAAGUCGUGCUCAGUCACUAAGGAAGUUGAACUGCUGAGACAGCCAGGAUGUUGGCUUAGAAGCAGCCACCAUUUAAAAAGUGCGUAACAGCUUACUGGUCGAGCAGUUCUGCGCCGAUAAUGAACGGGAGUAAGCACGACACCGAAGCAGCGGGUUUCAUCAAUCUUCGGAUUGGUGGAGCGGUAGGAGAGCGCUGAACAUCAGAUACAAGCCGUACCGAAAGGAGCGGUGGUGGGGUGUUCAGGUGAUUAUGCCGGAAUGAGUAACGAUAAAGCAGGUGAGAAUCCUGCUCGCCGAAAGCCUAAGGUUUCCUGGGGAAGGUAAUUCCGCCCAGGGUUAGCCGGUUCCUAAGACGAGGCCGAAAGGCGUAGUCGAUGGAUAGCAGGUCAACAUUCCUGCGCCACUGAAGUGGACCGAUGGAGGGACGGCGUUUAGAGGGUGAGGGGACGAGUAGAAAUGUCCCUCGCCUGGUGGAGAGAUCGUCGUAGGCAAAUCCGCGACAACAAGAUCUCGAAACCGGGACAAGGACGCUUAUGUUGCUGAUGUCAUCCGAAGAACGUCCAAGAAAAGCUUCUCAGGGUUGAAGCUUCAGUGACCGUACUAAAACUGACACAGGUAGGCGAGACGAGAAGUCUAAGGCGCUCGGGAGAACACUGGUUAAGGAACUCUGCAAAAUGGCCCCGUAAGUUCGCGAUAAGGGGUGCCCUCUGGGGUUCACGCUCUGGGGGGCCACAGUAAAUCGGCUCCUGCGACUGUUUAUCAAAAACACAGGACUCUGCAAACACGUAAGUGGACGUAUAGAGUCUGACGCCUGCCCGGUGCCGGUAGGUUAAGGAAGACGGUUAGCCUUCGGGUGAAGCUGGCGACCGAAGCCCCGGUAAACGGCGGCCGUAACUAUGACGGUCCUAAGGUAGCGAAGUUCCUUGUCGGGUAAGUUCCGACCUGCAUGAAAGGCGUAACGACAGGAGCACUGUCUCAACCAGUGACCCGGUGAAAUUGUAGUCGUGGUGAAGAUGCCACGUACCCGCGGUUAGACGGAAAGACCCCAUGAACCUUUACUGCAGGCUGAUAUUGGGCUGUGGUAUGUCUUGUGUAGGAUAGGUGGGAGGCUAUGAACUCGGAACGCCAGUUUCGAGGGAGCCACUGGUGAAAUACCACCCUGGGCCUACUUUAGUUCUAACCCUGUCCCGUGAAUCCGGGCAGGGAACAGUUUCAGUUGGGCAGUUUGACUGGGGCGGUCUCCUCCAAAAGAGUAACGGAGGAGUCCAAAGGUACCCUCAGCCUGGUUGGCAAUCAGGCUUCGAGUGUAAAGGCACAAGGGUGCUUGACUGCGAGACUCAUAAGUCGAGCAGGUGCGAAAGCAGGGCUUAGUGAUCCGGUGGUCCCGUAUGGAAGGGCCAUCGCUCAUCAGAUAAAAGGUACUCUGGGGAUAACAGGCUUAUCGCUCCCGAGCGUCCAUAGCGGCGGAGCGGUUUGGCACCUCGAUGUCGGCUCAUCACAUCCUGGGGGUGGAGAAGCUCCCAAGGGUUUGGCUGUUCGCCAAUGAAAGUGGUACGUGAGCUGGGUUCAGACCGUCGUGAGACAGGUCGGUCCCUAUCUGCCGUGGGCGUUCGAAACUUGAGGAGGUUCUUCUUUAGUACGAGAGGAUUUGGAAGGACGUAGCUCUGGUGUUCCAGUUGUCGCGCUAGCGGCACGGCUGGAUAGCUAACUACGGAAAGGAUAAACGCUGAAAGCAUCUAAGCGUGAAGCCUGCUCCAAGAUAAGGUUUCGUAGCGACAUUGUCGCGAGAGUCCGCUGGAAGACUACCAGCUUGAUAGGCCGGAUGUGUAAGCGCAGCAAUGCGUUCAGCUAACCGGUACUAAUGGACGAAUGCUUGGCCAC
This 2924-nucleotide ribosomal RNA is filed under the name Pirellulales bacterium. RNAcentral describes it as "23S ribosomal RNA". It matches the Rfam family "Bacterial large subunit ribosomal RNA". Lineage: Bacteria; Pseudomonadati; Planctomycetota; Planctomycetia; Pirellulales. The record is from RNAcentral.